UGGGGAAUAUUGCGCAAUGGGCGAAAGCCUUACGCAGCGACGCCGCGUGAGGGAUGAAGGUUUUCGGAUCGUAAACCUCUGUCAGAAGGGAAGAAACCGCACUGUGCUAAUCAGCAGUGCCUUGACGGUACCUUCAAAGGAAGCACCGGCUAACUCCGUGCCAGCAGCCGCGGUAAUACGGAGGGUGCAAGCGUUAAUCGGAAUUACUGGGCGUAAAGCGCACGUAGGCUGCUUUGUAAGUCAGGGGUGAAAUCCCACGGCUCAACCGUGGAACUGCCUUUGAUACUGCUUAGCUUGAAUCCGGGAGAGGGUGGCGGAAUUCCAGGUGUAAGAGUGAAAUCCGUAGAUAUCUGGAGGAACAUCAGUGGCGAAGGCGGCCACCUGGACCGGUAUUGACGCUGAGGUGCGAAAGCGUGGGGAGCAAACAGG
Molecule: ribosomal RNA, 429 nt
Filed under: Fusobacteriota bacterium
Lineage: Bacteria; Fusobacteriati; Fusobacteriota
Description: Fusobacteria bacterium partial 16S ribosomal RNA
Rfam family: Bacterial small subunit ribosomal RNA
Source: RNAcentral